RNAcentral lists this ribosomal RNA (315 nucleotides) under uncultured eukaryote. RNAcentral describes it as "partial 18S ribosomal RNA". It matches the Rfam family "Eukaryotic small subunit ribosomal RNA", at positions 1470 to 1796 of the family's 1831-position model. The record is from RNAcentral.
CCCUUAGAUGUUCUGGGCCGCACGCGCGCUACACUGACCAGUGCAACAAGCAUCCGUCCUUGGCCGACAGGCCCGGGCAAUCUUUGAACGCUGGUCGUGAUGGGGAUAGACUUUUGCAAUUUUUGGUCUUCAACGAGGAAUUCCUAGUAAACGCAAGUCAUCAACUUGCAUUGAUUACGUCCCUGCCCUUUGUACACACCGCCCGUCGCACCUACCGAUUGAAUGGUCCGGUGAAGCCUCCGGAUUGGCGCGCACCCCGGUGCCGCCGAGAAGUUGGCUAAACCUUACCAUUUAGAGGAAGGUGAAGUCGUANCA